AGAGGGAACCCGGUGGAAGUCCGGGACUGUCCCGCAGCGGUGAGCAGGAACGACCGCCGUCACACGCACUGAUCGAAAGAUUGGGAAGCGACGGCCAGUAGGAGCACCGCCCGGUGCGCGCCUGCGAGUCCGAAGACCU
RNAcentral lists this non-coding RNA (139 nucleotides) under Mycobacterium interjectum. The record is from RNAcentral. Lineage: Bacteria; Bacillati; Actinomycetota; Actinomycetes; Mycobacteriales; Mycobacteriaceae.